CCUACGGGUGACAGCAGUCGAGAAUCAUUCACAAUGGGGGAAACCCUGAUGGUGCGACGCCGCGUGGGGGAAUGAAGGUCUUCGGAUUGUAAACCCCUGUCAUGUGGGAGCAAAUUAAAAAGAUAGUACCACAAGAGGAAGAGACGGCUAACUCUGUGCCAGCAGCCGCGGUAAUACAGAGGUCUCAAGCGUUGUUCGGAAUCACUGGGCGUAAGGCGUGCGUAGGCGGUUUCGUAAGUCGUGUGUGAAAGGCGCGGGCUCAACCCGCGGACGGCACAUGAUACUGCGAGACUAGAGUAAUGGAGGGGGAACCGGAAUUCUCGGUGUAGCAGUGAAAUGCGUAGAUAUCGAGAGGAACACUCGUGGCGAAGGCGGGUUCCUGGACAUUAACUGACGCUGAGGCACGAAGGCCAGGGGAGCGAAAGGGAUUAGAUACCCGAGUAGUC
Molecule: ribosomal RNA, 446 nt
Filed under: uncultured bacterium
Lineage: Bacteria
Description: partial 16S ribosomal RNA
Rfam family: Bacterial small subunit ribosomal RNA
Source: RNAcentral